Long non-coding RNA from Myotis brandtii (Brandt's bat), 525 nucleotides. RefSeq lists it as uncharacterized. NCBI's taxonomy places the organism in Eukaryota, Metazoa, Chordata, Mammalia, Chiroptera, Vespertilionidae. The transcript has 3 exons. The record is from RefSeq and is a predicted model, not a curated record.
ACCAUUUGGCUUUGCAAUUAAAAACAGGUUUGGCUUCCCUCAGCAUCAGUAAGACAACGUCAAAGCAACAUUCAUCCCGAAAAUUUUCCCCUGUGAAUUCAAAUGAACUUUAUGUAUCUGAAGUCUGGUAAAAGAGAAGAAAGAAUAGAGGGGAUUAUUAGGUCUUUAAAUCUGGAGAAGUUGCCUUCCCAAACUUACCGAAAAUCAUAUUUAUGAGGAAGCCUUCUUUACGGAGACAAUGAAACUAAAGCACCUGCGCACCGGAACCACAUCACUUACACAGCUUACAUAAUGCUGGACGGGAGCAAGCAGGCAAGUCCUCCCUUUCUCUCCCUGUGGUUUAGAGCCUGUUUGUAUUUUGGGUCACACAUGUCCUGUGAAAACAUGGCUGAAAACACAGACUUACCACACAGGUGUGCCUCGGAAGUCGCUAGUAAAAAUGAUUUUAAAACUUUCAGAAACCGCCAAGCUCUGAGGAAAUGCUUAUUAAAGACUAAUAAAAUUGCGAAAAUUGAAGGAAAAACA